GGGGGUGAUCGGUUUCGACUUCGGUCGCCGUAUUGGGGGAAGCGAGCCGAGGAUCGCGAAGGUAACCUCGUUAAUCCUGCUUUCGCAAACCAACAAGUGCCAAUUCCAAGCGCACUGAGUUCGCUCUCGCUGCCUAAGCGAUAGCGACUCUGUCGGCCCGGGUACGUCCUCGACCCGGUGUCCGGCAUCGUUCAGGGGACUUACCGCUCAGAUCAGGCCACGGGGCCUGAGCGGGACACUUUCGUGGCUGGGCUCGUCAGCGACCUGUUCGUGGGAGCGCUGGAGCCGAGGAGAACGGCAGCACGAACUGCGCUCGGAGAAGCCCUGAUGCGUCAUCGAAGGACGCGGGUUCGAUUCCCGCCACCUCCACCU
RNAcentral lists this transfer-messenger RNA (372 nucleotides) under Streptomonospora nanhaiensis. RNAcentral's name for it is "Standard tmRNA". It matches the Rfam family "transfer-messenger RNA". From Rfam's summary of the family: Bacterial tmRNA, also known as 10Sa RNA or SsrA, is named for its dual tRNA and mRNA-like properties. Its role is to liberate the mRNA from a stalled ribosome. To accomplish this part of the tmRNA is used as a reading frame that ends in a translation stop signal. The record is from Rfam by way of RNAcentral. Lineage: Bacteria; Bacillati; Actinomycetota; Actinomycetes; Streptosporangiales; Nocardiopsidaceae.